This is a non-coding RNA of Schizosaccharomyces pombe (fission yeast), 1017 nucleotides long. NCBI's taxonomy places the organism in Eukaryota, Fungi, Ascomycota, Schizosaccharomycetes, Schizosaccharomycetales, Schizosaccharomycetaceae. The record is from the annotation of a GenBank genome assembly.
AAGUCCUCAAACCUUUUAUGCUUGUAUAAAGCUUUGUUUAUUUUAAUUACAUAAAAAUAUGAUAUAAUAUAUCAUUAAUUAAAAAAACUAAUGUGCUUCAAUCACAUAUGUAGUACCAAAGUUGAAACGCUUACAAGAAUCUAUGGUCAGUUCAGAAUCUUCUAAUAAUUGUUCAAUGUCUCGAUUCCAAACACAUCCCCAAGACUCAUAAUGUGAUUCCGCAUAUGCAUUUAAAAUUCUAUUUAGGAACUUGUAUUUUCCUUUGCCAUGUUCUAUCAGUAAAAUACGACCAUCGGAACGCAAUAAAGAGCGAUAGUUAUUUAAUUGUUCGACCGCUUUUUCUUGAGAGCAAAUACAAAAUGUUUGAAUGAUAGUGUCAUAACUUUGGUUUGGCGGAAGCUGACGCAAGUCUGCAAAUUGUCGAUACAAUACAUUUGGAGGUACCUUUUUUUUAGCACGAGCAUCUGCAAUUUCACGCAUUUUUUCAGCCGGCUCAACCAGUGUUAGAGUGUUAAUUUUUUUCCACUUGUAAAAUGGGAAAUUAGUACCUGGUCCACUCCCAACUUCUAAUACAUCACCCUUCGCAUUUCGUAAGAGGAAAUAUCGAAGAAAAUAUAUUCCAGAAAAUAUUUCCUCUCGCGUAAUUUUUCUGCUAUAUUUAUCAGCAAUUUGAUUAUAAAUUGAAAUACUAUUGCUGUUCGGAAUUAAUAAGUCUGACUUCUGUCGCGAUUCAUAAUUGAGAACAUCUUUCCUCAACCUCCAAGCUACCGCACCAAUGUAGACACCUAGACCGUAUAUACCUCCUAUAAAGAUAGUUUUCUUUAAUAUGCCCAUGUUUUUUAAUAUUUUUAAGUAUUUUAAUCGCUGAAUGAAUGAAAUGAGAAAAACAAGAUUUUAGCGGUUUGAUAUUAGAAUAUUUGAAAUCGCUAAAUUGACCCACACGCGCACUGCGAAAGGUACUAAACGGAAACCAAUACAAAACUAAAUCUCGAAUACUGAUUCAACGAACAAAUAAAA